RNAcentral lists this ribosomal RNA (994 nucleotides) under uncultured Corynebacterium sp. RNAcentral describes it as "bacterial SSU rRNA". It matches the Rfam family "Bacterial small subunit ribosomal RNA", at positions 505 to 1498 of the family's 1533-position model. Lineage: Bacteria; Bacillati; Actinomycetota; Actinomycetes; Mycobacteriales; Corynebacteriaceae. The record is from RNAcentral.
GUGCCAGCAGCCGCGGUAAUACGUAGGGUGCGAGCGUUGUCCGGAAUUACUGGGCGUAAAGAGCUCGUAGGUGGUUUGUCGCGUCGUCUGUGAAAUUCCGGGGCUUAACUCCGGGCGUGCAGGCGAUACGGGCAUAACUUGAGUGCUGUAGGGGAGACUGGAAUUCCUGGCGUAGCGGUGAAAUGCGCAGAUAUCAGGAGGAACACCGAUGGCGAAGGCAGGUCUCUGGGCAGUUACUGACGCUGAGGAGCGAAAGCAUGGGUAGCGAACAGGAUUAGAUACCCUGGUAGUCCAUGCCGUAAACGGUGGGCGCUAGGUGUGGGGGUUUUAUUUACGAUUCCCGUGCCGUAGCUAACGCAUUAAGCGCCCCGCCUGGGGAGUACGGCCGCAAGGCUAAAACUCAAAGGAAUUGACGGGGGCCCGCACAAGCGGCGGAGCAUGUGGAUUAAUUCGAUGCAACGCGAAGAACCUUACCUGGGCUUGACAUACACCAGAUCGCUGCAGAGAUGUAGUUUCCCUUGUGGUUGGUGUACAGGUGGUGCAUGGUUGUCGUCAGCUCGUGUCGUGAGAUGUUGGGUUAAGUCCCGCAACGAGCGCAACCCUUGUCUUAUGUUGCCAGCAUUUGGUUGGGGACUCAUGAGAGACUGCCGGGGUUAACUCGGAGGAAGGUGGGGAUGACGUCAAAUCAUCAUGCCCCUUAUGUCCAGGGCUUCACACAUGCUACAAUGGUCGGUACAACGCGCAGCGACACUGUGAGGUGGAGCGAAUCGCUGAAAGCCGGUCUUAGUUCGGAUUGGGGUCUGCAACUCGACCCCAUGAAGUCGGAGUCGCUAGUAAUCGUAGAUCAGCAAUGCUGCGGUGAAUACGUUCCCGGGCCUUGUACACACCGCCCGUCACGUCAUGAAAGUUGGUAACACCCGAAGCCAGUGGCUCAAACUUGUUAGGGAGCUGUCUAAGGUGGGAUCGGCGAUUGGGACGAAGUCGUAACAAGGUA